UUAAGUUAUUAAGGGCGCACGGUGGAUGCCUUGGCACUAGAAGCCGAUGAAGGACGUUACUAACGACGAUAUGCUUUGGGGAGCUGUAAGUAAGCUUUGAUCCAGAGAUUUCCGAAUGGGGAAACCCAGCAUGAGUUAUGUCAUGUUAUCGAUAUGUGAAUACAUAGCAUAUCAGAAGGCACACCCGGAGAACUGAAACAUCUUAGUACCCGGAGGAAGAGAAAGAAAAUUCGAUUCCCUUAGUAGCGGCGAGCGAAANGGGAAGAGCCCAAACCAACAAGCUUGCUUGUUGGGGUUGUAGGACACUCUAUACGGAGUUACAAAGGACGACAUUAGACGAAUCAUCUGGAAAGAUGAAUCAAAGAAGGUAAUAAUCCUGUAGUCGAAAAUGUUGUCUCUCUUGAGUGGAUCCUGAGUACGACGGAGCACGUGAAAUUCCGUCGGAAUCUGGGAGGACCAUCUCCUAAGGCUAAAUACUCUCUAGUGACCGAUAGUGAACCAGUACCGUGAGGGAAAGGUGAAAAGCACCCCGGAAGGGGAGUGAAAUAGAACCUGAAACCGUGUGCUUACAAGUAGUCAGAGCCCGUUAAUGGGUGAUGGCGUGCCUUUUGUAGAAUGAACCGGCGAGUUACGAUUUGAUGCAAGGUUAAGCAGUAAAUGUGGAGCCGUAGCGAAAGCGAGUCUGAAUAGGGCGUUUAGUAUUUGGUCGUAGACCCGAAACCAGGUGAUCUACCCUUGGUCAGGUUGAAGUUCAGGUAACACUGAAUGGAGGACCGAACCGACUUACGUUGAAAAGUGAGCGGAUGAACUGAGGGUAGCGGAGAAAUUCCAAUCGAACCUGGAGAUAGCUGGUUCUCUCCGAAAUAGCUUUAGGGCUAGCCUCAAGUGAUGAUUAUUGGAGGUAGAGCACUGUUUGGACGAGGGGCCCCUCUCGGGUUACCGAAUUCAGACAAACUCCGAAUGCCAAUUAAUUUAACUUGGGAGUCAGAACAUGGGUGAUAAGGUCCGUGUUCGAAAGGGAAACAGCCCAGACCACCAGCUAAGGUCCCAAAAUAUAUGUUAAGUGGAAAAGGAUGUGGCGUUGCCCAGACAACUAGGAUGUUGGCUUAGAAGCAGCCAUCAUUUAAAGAGUGCGUAAUAGCUCACUAGUCGAGUGACACUGCGCCGAAAAUGUACCGGGGCUAAACAUAUUACCGAAGCUGUGGAUUGUCCUUUGGACAAUGGUAGGAGAGCGUUCUAAGGGCGUUGAAGCAUGAUCGUAAGGACAUGUGGAGCGCUUAGAAGUGAGAAUGCCGGUGUGAGUAGCGAAAGACGGGUGAGAAUCCCGUCCACCGAUUGACUAAGGUUUCCAGAGGAAGGCUCGUCCGCUCUGGGUUAGUCGGGUCCUAAGCUGAGGCCGACAGGCGUAGGCGAUGGAUAACAGGUUGAUAUUCCUGUACCACCUAUAAUCGUUUUAAUCGAUGGGGGGACGCAGUAGGAUAGGCGAAGCGUGCGAUUGGAUUGCACGUCUAAGCAGUAAGGCUGAGUAUUAGGCAAAUCCGGUACUCGUUAAGGCUGAGCUGUGAUGGGGAGAAGACAUUGUGUCUUCGAGUCGUUGAUUUCACACUGCCGAGAAAAGCCUCUAGAUAGAAAAUAGGUGCCCGUACCGCAAACCGACACAGGUAGUCAAGAUGAGAAUUCUAAGGUGAGCGAGCGAACUCUCGUUAAGGAACUCGGCAAAAUGACCCCGUAACUUCGGGAGAAGGGGUGCUCUUUAGGGUUAACGCCCAGAAGAGCCGCAGUGAAUAGGCCCAAGCGACUGUUUAUCAAAAACACAGGUCUCUGCUAAACCGUAAGGUGAUGUAUAGGGGCUGACGCCUGCCCGGUGCUGGAAGGUUAAGAGGAGUGGUUAGCUUCUGCGAAGCUACGAAUCGAAGCCCCAGUAAACGGCGGCCGUAACUAUAACGGUCCUAAGGUAGCGAAAUUCCUUGUCGGGUAAGUUCCGACCCGCACGAAAGGCGUAACGAUUUGGGCACUGUCUCAACGAGAGACUCGGUGAAAUCAUAGUACCUGUGAAGAUGCAGGUUACCCGCGACAGGACGGAAAGACCCCGUGGAGCUUUACUGUAGCCUGAUAUUGAAAUUCGGCACAGCUUGUACAGGAUAGGUAGGAGCCUUUGAAACGUGAGCGCUAGCUUACGUGGAGGCGCUGGUGGGAUACUACCCUAGCUGUGUUGGCUUUCUAACCCGCACCACUUAUCGUGGUGGGAGACAGUGUCAGGCGGGCAGUUUGACUGGGGCGGUCGCCUCCUAAAAGGUAACGGAGGCGCUCAAAGGUUCCCUCAGAAUGGUUGGAAAUCAUUCAUAGAGUGUAAAGGCAUAAGGGAGCUUGACUGCGAGACCUACAAGUCGAGCAGGGUCGAAAGACGGACUUAGUGAUCCGGUGGUUCCGCAUGGAAGGGCCAUCGCUCAACGGAUAAAAGCUACCCCGGGGAUAACAGGCUUAUCUCCCCCAAGAGUUCACAUCGACGGGGAGGUUUGGCACCUCGAUGUCGGCUCAUCGCAUCCUGGGGCUGUAGUCGGUCCCAAGGGUUGGGCUGUUCGCCCAUUAAAGCGGUACGCGAGCUGGGUUCAGAACGUCGUGAGACAGUUCGGUCCCUAUCCGUCGUGGGCGUAGGAAAUUUGAGAGGAGCUGUCCUUAGUACGAGAGGACCGGGAUGGACAUACCUCUGGUGUACCAGUUGUCGUGCCAACGGCAUAGCUGGGUAGCUAUGUGUGGACGGGAUAAGUGCUGAAAGCAUCUAAGCAUGAAGCCCCCCUCAAGAUGAGAUUUCCCAACUUCGGUUAUAAGAUCCCUCAAAGAUGAUGAGGUUAAUAGGUUCGAGGUGGAAGCAUGGUGACAUGUGGAGCUGACGAAUACUAAUCGAUCGAAGACUUAAUCAA
RNAcentral lists this ribosomal RNA (2921 nucleotides) under Staphylococcus aureus. RNAcentral's name for it is "23S ribosomal RNA". It matches the Rfam family "Bacterial large subunit ribosomal RNA". Lineage: Bacteria; Bacillati; Bacillota; Bacilli; Caryophanales; Staphylococcaceae. The record is from RNAcentral.